Long non-coding RNA from Spodoptera frugiperda (fall armyworm), 968 nucleotides. RefSeq lists it as uncharacterized. The transcript is spliced from 2 exons. NCBI's taxonomy places the organism in Eukaryota, Metazoa, Arthropoda, Insecta, Lepidoptera, Noctuidae. The record is from RefSeq and is a predicted model, not a curated record.
UGAAAACUUGCGACCCGCCCCAGCUUCGCAUGGGUGCAAUGGUGAUAUAUUAUGCAUGUAUUAUACAAUAUAUAAACCUUCCUCUUGAAUCACUUUAUCUAUUAAAAAAACUGCAUCAAAAUCCGUUGCGUAGUUUUAAAGAUUUAAGCGGAUUUUUACAGAGGGACAUAGGGACAGAGACAGCUACUUUGUUUUAUACUAUGUAGUGUCUGAUAUUUAUUCAUUAUCUAACUGACGGAAUAAAUAGUUUUUGUAUUUUAAUUUUCUGUCAUCAUCACUAUUGUCAUGUUUUGAGAUAUGCACACCACACAAUAUCGCUCACCUACUAAUAUAUUGGCACAUCUGCAAAAAAUGCGAAAUUGACUUUAUAUGGUUUACGUGUUUAAAAGUGCAUAUUAAUCUAUUUACUUCCAUAUUCAUCGAGAGAGGUCGUCAGUGUCAUUAUACCAUUAUUGUAGUUCACGCACGUAAAACAACGGUUCAUUGGUCAGUAAACUAAAAACUAAACAAGUCAGGUAAACUAUGAAAACCGUAAAUGUGCCAAUAUAUUACUAGGUGUGCGAUAGGUUCAUGAUUAUAGUUACUGCCCAAUAGAUAAAUAAAUUAAACUAUAAUUUUAUUAUAACUUUCGUGAGACAUACUAAAUUAAUUAUUAUGUUAUCGGCUUACUCACAUAACUGUUUGACGAGGAACUCGACUAGUUUCUAGCCAUGCUGUAGUAGUAGCAGCGCGACAAUCGCCGCGUCGUGUGUCGCGGAAUGUUGCUCAUGAAUAUGAGCCUGUAGCAUGGCUUGAAACUAGUCGAGUUCCUCGUCAAACAGUUACGUGAGUAAGCCGAUAACAUAAUACGUAAGUAACUCAAGAAAGAAUUUAGGGUGACUGGUAAUUAGUGAACGAUAUUUAAACACGUGAUUGUACUCAUGAUUACAAACAACUUUCCCGAAGAAACUUUUUUUGUAUAGUCAUUA